GCGCCCGAUCUCGUCUGGUCUCGGAAGCUAA
Molecule: ribosomal RNA, 31 nt
Filed under: Bison bison bison
Lineage: Eukaryota; Metazoa; Chordata; Mammalia; Artiodactyla; Bovidae
Source: RNAcentral